This 329-nucleotide long non-coding RNA is filed under the name Elaeis guineensis (African oil palm). Its description in RNAcentral is "long non-coding RNA (EGUI_LNC065155)". The record is from RNAcentral. Lineage: Eukaryota; Viridiplantae; Streptophyta; Magnoliopsida; Arecales; Arecaceae.
CUCCACACCUCCUCUCUUUCCAACACCCAAGUAUUGGGCAUCCCAUCAUCUCACAUGCCCAAGGAGAAGGAUGUUUUCUUCUACCUCAAGCAAAAGGGAGAAAGGCUGUAGUUCAAGCAUUGAAACUGUAGUCAGAGAUCAACAUGUGAUCAAAGAUUCAAAAGGCUGAGAUCCUAUUUACAGAAGAUGGAUUUACAAUGAGAAGAAGAGUUUAUGGUUGAUCCUGAUGGAUAUCUAUAGAGGCCGGAUACGUGUGUAGCUCAAGAACCUUCAGAUCUAAGAUCAUCGAUUGUGGUGAAUUUUAAUCCAUGCAAGGUAUUGAGAUCUGA